CCCAGACUCCUACGGGAGGCAGCAGUGGGGAAUAUUGCACAAUGGGGGAAACCCUGAUGCAGCGACGCCGCGUGAGUGAAGAAGUAUUUCGGUAUGUAAAGCUCUAUCAGCAGGGAAGAUAAUGACGGUACCUGACUAAGAAGCCCCGGCUAACUACGUGCCAGCAGCCGCGGUAAUACGUAGGGGGCAAGCGUUAUCCGGAUUUACUGGGUGUAAAGGGUGCGCAGGUGGCAGGGCAAGUCAGAUGUGAAAGCCCGGGGCUCAACCCCGGUAUUGCAUUUGAAACUGUCCGGCUAGAGUGCAGGAGAGGUAAGCGGAAUUCCUAGUGUAGCGGUGAAAUGCGUAGAUAUUAGGAGGAACACCAGUGGCGAAGGCGGCUUACUGGACUGUAACUGACACUGAGGCACGAAAGCGUGGGGAGCAAACAGGAUUAGAUACCCCCGUAC
Molecule: ribosomal RNA, 446 nt
Filed under: uncultured bacterium
Lineage: Bacteria
Description: bacterial SSU rRNA
Rfam family: Bacterial small subunit ribosomal RNA
Source: RNAcentral